GGAUAUAGUUCAGUUGGUAGAGCGCCAGAUUGUGGCUCUGGAUGUCGUGGGUUCGAGUCCCACUAUU
Molecule: transfer RNA, 67 nt
Filed under: human gut metagenome
Also listed under: 1 other name
Rfam family: tRNA
About the family: Transfer RNA (tRNA) molecules are approximately 80 nucleotides in length.
Source: RNAcentral